Molecule: long non-coding RNA, 2886 nt
Filed under: Triticum aestivum (bread wheat)
Lineage: Eukaryota; Viridiplantae; Streptophyta; Magnoliopsida; Poales; Poaceae
Description: long non-coding RNA (TAES_LNC025636)
Source: RNAcentral
AGAUAAAUAAGAGUUGUUGGCAGCAGCAACCUACACAUGUGGAAACAGUGGCUAUGGCGGCUCAAAGGGAAGUUGUGGCUGCUAGAUAGCAACUCACAACUUAGUGUCGGCUCAAAGUACAUAUAAUCUAUUUCUUCUUGGAGCUAUCUACUAUCAUAUUAUGACUCGGUGCUAGCUGAAGCUUCUAUUUUCUCGCCUUUUGUGGUGGUGAUGAUUCCUUCAACUGCAAUAGUUUUUCUACAUGCCAUUGUAAGUGUAGGUUUUCUACACUUAAGCCUCUCGCAUUGCAAAAAGCUACAUUCCAUUGUUUUUCUACGUGCCAUUGUAAGUGCAGGUUUUCUACCGGCUUCAACAUAGAUAGUUAGCAUGCGAGAGGCUUAACUGUAGCUUUUUGCGAUGCUAGACAUAUUCAGUACUGAAAAUCUAGACUGUUCUUUCCACUCUGUAACAACUUCUAUGCUUGCGCCACCAUGAUAUCAGUACAACAUUUCCCUAUAAAAUUUUGUUAGUUGCAUGUAAACUGAAUUGAUUUACCAGUAAAAAUCUGGACAACUCAUUCCAGUCGAUAAUAACCAUUGUGGCAUUACCAUGAUAUGUCAUGUAUUUGCUCUGAGUCGUAGUAUGUUGCAAAAAGUACAAUAAGAGAUAGAAUGUAUGCACUAUGGCUAGCAGUAACAUUUUUUUGACUUGUAGAACAUUUGAUCUAUCUAUAUCUGCAGGCUAUUCCUCAUGUUGCAACCUUUUCCCGUAGAAUCAAAAGGAAUUAGAUGGAAGAAAUUGCAGGAGGUACUACUUCGUGUUCCAUUUGUCUUACUUUUGGAGGCUUGUCUAUAUAGUCUUAGUGUCGGAGGUGUGUCAAUAGUAGUAUUAGCUUUGGAGGCUUGUCUAUACUAGUCUUAUUUUUUGGAUUACGUUUCUUUCCACCUGCAUCCUCUUCAUAAUGGAUUAUGUUUCUUUGUUAUUGCCAUGUGUUAUUUUCUGUCAUUACUGUGAUCAUCCGCUCUCUUAACAGUGGUUGUUCUUGCUUUAUGUAUGCCUUCUCAGUGCACUUUUAUUAGUUCUAAUACAUUAAUAUAAUAUGCUCGGUUGACCAUAUUAAUUAUAUAUUUCACUUCACCGGGGCUGUUGGUCGAAGUGUUGGUUAAAAUAUUUUGGUGGCAGUGUAUAAAACUAAUUGUUGUACACCAUUGUUAAGUGCGCUUUUGAGCUUUGAGUAGACAACUGUGGUCAUAAUUACUUUAAAGAAUCGUUAGUAUAUAUUACUGUCGGAUUUCCAUGUUCAGUUAUUCACACUAUAUUAUUGCUUGAUUCUGAUAGCUUGCUAUUAUUAGAGCAGGAAGGGUAUUCCUGGUGUGACAUUCAAAGGCAGUCAAAACGGCGAGGUUUAGAACGGAGGAGUUCUGUGGAAUUAUGGAUAAAAAAUUAUCAAUAACAUGUCUGUCAUUGCUCAUGUCGACCAUGGUAUGUGACCGAGUGGUGACAGUUGUCUCUAAUUAUCAAUUUUAUAUAGAGUCUUCUUGAUUGAUGAUUUUGUAGCCUUCUCUUAGUUGUACCAUAUUAAUUCUUAAAACUGGAUCAUUUAAAAUUAGUUAGAUUUAAUGAGUUGUUUCACUGUUUUCAAAUAAGUAGUUUAAGCCCUUAUUGUGUUCUUGAGCCUAUUCUUUCUGCCUUUUUAUGAUUGAUUUAUGCUCUCACAAGCUUAAAUGUAACUAUUGACAUAUGAUCUCAUGGCUCAAAGUCUUAGUUGUUGAAUGUAUUAAAAUCUAUAAGAUCUGGAGUUUGCACUAUAUUUCAUCCAGCGGUAUUCCCAGUAACUGAAUGUUAAGAGCAUGACGAUCCCAGGUUGUACAUUCAGGUACUGGGAAAUGCUUUUAUCUUGUAGGCCAGUUUUACAUUUACUUUCUCAAUAACGAGAUGACCAUGAACAAGGUAUCAAGGUAUUUUCCUUGGCAUUAUUAACGUUGUGUUCAGAUUACUAAAAGAAGGAUUGAUAGAGGCAUACCUUAACUCGACUGAUGCUUUAACUGCUGCCUCUCUAAGCCUUGAUUAGCCAUGGAGAUACUCAAGUUCCAAAUCCCCAAGUGAGGCCAUCCUUCUAAGAUCCGUUCAACAGUUCAUUAAUUUGUUUGAAAUAUAUAUCUAUAUUCCAAUAUUGCUCAAUCUCCAGCUGGCCUCUAGGUUAUCAGAUGAAAUCCGGUUAAAUUUUAGGGAGGUUGAGUAGGAGUGUUUGGAACUAAAGGCUUUGUUGUUGUUGUUUGAGUAGAAGUAUCUCCCUUUUCCGUAUAAAUUUUGUUGCUAUGAAUAGUUGCAUUGUUACGUCAGUGAAAACUUCCUGCGCGUACUAUGUGUUCCUCUAGACUUGAUUGAAAGUAUACCUUAUGUUAUCCAGUUUCUCACUACACAUGUUACCUUUGUUGCUGAAUUUUGCCUAUUGUUUAUAUAUAGUAGACUCACAUGAUUACCUGAUGACUCAUUCACGCAAGAACUAUUGUUAAUUUUUUCCUUUUCUGCAAUGAUGGUCGUAGCCCUUUGAUUCUACAAGCCGCAAAGGAGUGAAGUGUAGAAAAUAUGUCCAUUGUCGUUGAAUUGGUGGGAUUGUCACCAAGUUAGUGCUGCAGAUUGUUUCUAUUUUAGAGCAAGAAGCCAAAUCAUGUAGUUCAUUGUAAAUCUUGAAAAACUUGUUUAUUGUCACUUCUAUAUCUGUUAUAAACUUUUUUUCGUGAUGUGGUACUUGUCAAUCUUGGUUUGCCCUUCCAUUUCAAGUCUGCCCUUAAAUUCUAGCAGACCAAAAAGUACUUGUUUCUUCAAUUGGUUUAUCGUUUCAUGUUUGCACUUAUAUUACAGUACAACAUUUCAUAAACAUGGCAUUGGGCAUUGUUUGUCCAG